GUGGGCAGCAAACUCGCGAGGGUGAGCUAAUCUCCAAAAGUUGUCUCAGUUCGGAUUGUUCUCUGCAACUCGAGAGCAUGAAGGCGGAAUCGCUAGUAAUCGCGGAUCAGCAUGCCGCGGUGAAUACGUUCCCAGGCCUUGUACACACCGCCCGUCACACCAUGGGAGUUGGAUUCACCCGAAGGCGCUGCGCUAACCCGCAAGGGAGGCAGGCGACCACGGUGGGUUUAGCGACUGGGGUGAAGUCGUAACAAGGUAGCCGUAGGGGAACCUGCGGCUGGAUCACCUCCUUUCUAAG
This 298-nucleotide ribosomal RNA is filed under the name Sphingomonas cavernae. RNAcentral's name for it is "Sphingomonas sp. K2R01-6 partial 16S ribosomal RNA". It matches the Rfam family "Bacterial small subunit ribosomal RNA", at positions 1242 to 1533 of the family's 1533-position model. The record is from RNAcentral. Lineage: Bacteria; Pseudomonadati; Pseudomonadota; Alphaproteobacteria; Sphingomonadales; Sphingomonadaceae.